RNAcentral lists this signal recognition particle RNA (299 nucleotides) under Aotus nancymaae (Ma's night monkey). RNAcentral describes it as "Metazoan signal recognition particle RNA (ENSANAG00000006008.1)". It matches the Rfam family "Metazoan signal recognition particle RNA". Rfam says of the family: The signal recognition particle (SRP) is a universally conserved ribonucleoprotein. It is involved in the co-translational targeting of proteins to membranes. Lineage: Eukaryota; Metazoa; Chordata; Mammalia; Primates; Aotidae. The record is from RNAcentral.
GCCAGGCGCGGCGGCGCGCUGCCUGUAGUCCCACUACUCAGGAGGCUGAGGCGGGAGGAUGGCUUGACCCCAGGAGUUCUGGGCUGUAGUGCGCUAUGUCGAUUGGGUGUCCGCACUAAGUUCGGCAUCAGUAUGGUGACCUCCCGGGAGCAGGGGACCACCAGGUUGCCUAAGGAGGGGUGAACCGGCCCAGGUCGGAAAAGGAGCAGGUCAAAACUCCCGUGCUGAUCAGUAGUGGGAUGGCCCCUGUAAAUAGCUACUGCACUCUGGCCUGGGCACCAUAGCGAGACCCUGUCUCA